Nycticebus coucang (slow loris) is the source of this 3695-nucleotide long non-coding RNA. RefSeq lists it as uncharacterized. The record is from RefSeq and is a predicted model, not a curated record. The transcript has 3 exons. Lineage: Eukaryota; Metazoa; Chordata; Mammalia; Primates; Lorisidae.
AGGUGGGGUGGUAUGAGGGAACAGAAGGCAGGCCCUAAUUUGAAAAGCCCAACUAGAUCCAAAACACGCACAUAAGAAGCUUUUGGGGCCCUCCACAAGAUCAGAGGAUCUUGAUGAUAUGAGAGCAGUGUAGAUGGUUUCCACUCCUUUCUUUCUGCUAUCCCAAUGGUUGGGGUCGCAGGGACCUGGCUCUAAGGUACAUCUCCUAUACUCACCGGGUGUGUGUCAAUAUGCAAACCAUUCACCAUCUACAGCCCCUGUUUCCUCAUCAGUGAAAUGUAAAUAUUUAGCACUGGCUUCACAAAAUCUUGUGCAGGGCGUAUAGUAGUUGCUCAAUAAAUACGAGCUCCCUUCAUCCUCUGUGGAUUCCUUUGGUCUAAGUGCGACUUGUUCAUCCACUUGGUGUUCUAAUCUCUCAGGUUUUGCAGCCCUCAUGUUGCCACACAAAUGUGGCCUUCUAACAUCUGUGAAUGCUUUCACUUUAAUAGUAAAACAACUAAUAGUACCUCGGGGAGUUAUUCUGUACUCACAGUUCUACAUCCUUCUAUCACGUGCUCCCUGUGAUACAGCAGGACUAGGACCCUGGGAGGGUCCCCAAAGGACAGAUGUAGAAAUAGACAGGACCCCAGUGAUUUCAAGGCCACCACGUAGGUGAUGGGUCUAGCCAAGCCUUGACCCAUAUCCUCUGACUCUCUUGCUGGAGGUGACAGAAGUGUCAGGCAGGUCAUUCAACAUCAAAAUCACAGGGGUCCUCUUUAAAAUGUUCUUCCUUUUCUGACUGUGGGAACCUAUUCAUUUUUAGAGUCCACCUUAAGACUUUCAUGUUCCGGGAAUUCUUGCAAUGCCAGUGUAAGAGGGGAGUGUGAUCCUGUGUAUGUGUGAGGCCCUGUGAGUGUGUUUGCAUGUGUGUGAGAGAGAGACCCUGUGUGUGUUUGAGAGAGGCCCGGUAUGUGUGUGUUUGAGAAAGAGAGAGACAUUGUGUGUGUGUGUGCACGUGCAUACGCAUGUGUAUGUGUGUGAAAGAGAGAAAGAAAGGAGCCCUGAGUGUGAUCAAAAAUUUUUUUUUUGCAGUUUUUGGCUGGGGCUGGGUUUGAACUCACCAUCUCCGGCAUAUGGGGCCAGUGCCCUACUCCGUUGAGCCACAGAUGCCACCCAGAUCUAAAUGUUUUGUCAUUUUUUGUAGGGCACACUUGGCAGGCUCUGACAACACCUGCAUUGUACUUUUUCCUUUGCAUGGGAAGAAGACGUGGCUGUGACAGUGCUUUGUGUUCUCCAGCAGGGAAGAGUGAAGAGUGUGUGCCUCUUUGUAGAAGAUGGACUUCAAGGACUGCAGAGAGGAAAGGGCAGGGAUGUGUGAUGUUUGUAGGUGCCCUGGGAAGAGUUCCUCUUUGCUAGGAAUUAUUUAUGCUUACCAUUAUAACGCUUCUGGAAGAACAGAAAGAAAACUCUAUUUCUUGGAUGAGAUAAGAAGGUUUUUGACUGAGUGUCACUACUGAACCAGGCCCAAAUGUUUGUGCUUGGAGAUGUCAAAUGUGAACCCAUCAUUUCCAUCCAAGUAAAAGCAACUGAAAGGGUCAAAACCAUUGGAAGUCUGCUGGCACAUCGCUGGGGCUCGCCUUUGGCUGCAGGCACUGCAUUCCAUUUGUCCCCUGGAGGAGGUCAGCUGUACUUCUGGGUCCCUGGCCAUUGGGGGGAUCCAGAAUCACAGCUCACUGAGGAUGAAGUCCAGGUGUUCCUAACACCAAUUUUGCAAGAAUUCAAGGGGCAUUAAAGAUCCUCAGUCCUGACAUUCCCGUUUCCUUGUUAUAGAUAAAAACUGAAGUGAGGUCUGGCCCAUAAAGACAGUUUUCCCACCUAGAAGGUUCCCGAUCCCGGCAGAAGACGUGGACAUUACUCCUGGUGCCAGCUCUGCCCCUGCGAACUAGAUGGGGACACGGUGACUCGUGGAGGGAGCCCUGGAUGGGACAUGGCCCAUUCCAGGGUCUCAAGGAUCUCUCCACUGAGGGGAUCAAAUGAGGUGCAGACCUUAUGACACAUGUGGGAAACACAGACCAGGAGGUGUUCAUUCAUGUGCUGUGAUGGGCCGCUUGUGUCCCCGUGUUAUGACCCCUCUGCUUCAGAGAACGGCACCAUCACCAGGGUCUGCUGCUGACCAAAGCAGGCACGGGAAUGUCCCACGUCACCUGCCAGAGUGGUCUCAAAACCUAAGUCGGAUCAAGAGUUGAAGCGACUCACUCAGCCCCAUUCUGUGCUUCCCCAUAGCACUGAGCCAGCUGACCCUCUGAAUCCAGAGUGCUCUGCUGUAAAGACGCUGCGGGCUCAGGGUUAUGGCUGGCAGGCGAGAGGAAAUGUUCUUCUCAUUUACAUUGACUAGGAAUUAAUGAGCGCUUUCUAAGGUCUUCUACCACUUCCUUAUCCUGUCCCUUAGAAUUUUACAAUUAAUAGCCCAAGUAGCCCAAACUUCUUAGGAGUCUUUGCUUCCUUUGAAAUCCCAUACACGAUAGAGAAAAGCACAGAGUUAGAAAAACCUUCUUCCAACCCUAAAUACCACAGGGCAAUUUUAUUUAUUUAUUUAUUUAUUUAUUUACUUCUGGACAAUUUUCUCAAGGGGACAAAAGAAAGCAAAUAUACAGUGCAGGGAUGGCUGAGGUCUGUAGAUGCUGCAAGCAAAGAGUUAUAGGUAAGUAGAGAAAGGGAGGGAGCUCUGGGAACGGGCGGGGGGGGGGUCAGAGUGAGAUUUCUAAAGUGCAGCAGCAAGGAGGCCAGCAGAGUCAUGCCCUAGGGAGGCAUCCAGCAGCCCUGGCACAGGGACCUGUCAUUGCAGCACACACAAGUCAGAUGCCUCCACUAUGCGUCUAACACAAGAGGGGAGAUUUGGUCCUAGUAGAGCUGGAGGGCUGGAGGUGAGGAGCUAAGCCUCCCACCACCCUCUGCCUCUAUCACCAUUCUUCCCCGUAGGUGGAGUGACGGACCCCGCUUCUGAGAGGCUACAUCUGGCCACCGACUGGUACUUGGCAGCAGGGCACUCACCAAUGCAGGUGGAUUGGAUCUGGUAAUGCCUCCACAUCAGCUCUGUGCCCUCCUGCAGCAACUUUAGAAUAUGACCACCAACUCUGCCAUCAAGAUGUGGGGUCUUGAAGUCCAUGCCUUGAAUCUGGGUGGGAUUUGAGGGUUUCUAUCGAUGGAGCCUGGCAGAGGAGGUGCUGUGUCUACAGGCUGCCUGGGCACACGUGCUCUUGGAACAUUCCCUCUGGGAACAAAGCUGCCCUGAGUGAGAGCCUGAGCCAUGUGGAGAGGCCACGUACAGGAGCUUCAGCUGACAGACCCCUGAGCUCUGUCUUUAGGUCAGCCUGGUUCUGAUACCAGAUGUAUAAAUGGAGAAGUUUGAGCAUAAUAAAAUAGUUGCUGUUUUAUGCUGCACGGUAUGGGAACAUUUUUCAUGUAGCAAGAGAUAAUCUGUACAUGAUUUAGACACUUUGGUUUCCUAUGCCAGUGAUUUUCAACCAGUAUGCCAUGAAAAAAUUUUAAAGAUCAUUAAUUAAAUUAUUUUUAAAAGAAGUUCAAAGCACAGCAAGUAUGUAUUUUUUGACUCUUUUUUUUUUGAUCAACAUAAUUUAAGUACGCCAAGGAAGUUUAACUCUAGGUUCAAGUGUGCUGUGAGAUAAAAAAGAUUGAAAAGCACUGCUCUAUUUCUA